ACGAACGCUGGCGGCAGGCUUAACACAUGCAAGUCGAGCGCCCCGCAAGGGGAGCGGCAGACGGGUGAGUAACGCGUGGGAAUCUACCGAGCCCUACGGAAUAACGCAUGGAAACGUGUGCUAAUACCGUAUACGCCCUACGGGGGAAAGAUUUAUCGGGGUUUGAUGAGCCCGCGUUGGAUUAGCUAGUUGGUGGGGUAAAGGCCUACCAAGGCGACGAUCCAUAGCUGGUCUGAGAGGAUGAUCAGCCACAUUGGGACUGAGACACGGCCCAAACUCCUACGGGAGGCAGCAGUGGGGAAUAUUGGACAAUGGGCGAAAGCCUGAUCCAGCCAUGCCGCGUGAGUGAUGAAGGCCCUAGGGUUGUAAAGCUCUUUUGUGCGGGAAGAUAAUGACGGUACCGCAAGAAUAAGCCCCGGCUAACUUCGU
RNAcentral lists this ribosomal RNA (429 nucleotides) under uncultured bacterium. RNAcentral describes it as "bacterial SSU rRNA". It matches the Rfam family "Bacterial small subunit ribosomal RNA", at positions 29 to 506 of the family's 1533-position model. The record is from RNAcentral.